AGAGUUUUUUCCUGGCUCAGGAUGAACGCCGGCGGUGUGCCUAAUACAUGCAAGUCGUACGCACUGGCCCAACUGAUUGAUGGUGCUUGCACCUGAUUGACGAUGGAUCACCAGUGAGUGGCGGACGGGUGAGUAACACGUAGGUAACCUGCCUCGGAGCGGGGGAUAACAUUUGGAAACAGAUGCUAAUACCGCAUAACAACAAAAGCCACAUGGCUUUUGUUUGAAAGAUGGCUUUGGCUAUCACUCUGGGAUGGACCUGCGGUGCAUUAGCUAGUUGGUAAGGUAACGGCUUACCAAGGCAAUGAUGCAUAGCCGAGUUGAGAGGCUGAUCGGCCACAAUGGAACUGAGACACGGUCCAUACUCCUACGGGAGGCAGCAGUAGGGAAUCUUCCACAAUGGGCGCAAGCCUGAUGGAGCAACACCGCGUGAGUGAAGAAGGGUUUCGGCUCGUAAAGCUCUGUUGUUGGAGAAGAACGUGCGUGAGAGUAACUGUUCACGCAGUGACGGUAUCCAACCAGAAAGUCACGGCUAACUACGUGCCAGCAGCCGCGGUAAUACGUAGGUGGCAAGCGUUAUCCGGAUUUAUUGGGCGUAAAGCGAGCGCAGGCGGUUGCUUAGGUCUGAUGUGAAAGCCUUCGGCUUAACCGAAGAAGUGCAUCGGAAACCGGGCGACUUGAGUGCAGAAGAGGACAGUGGAACUCCAUGUGUAGCGGUGGAAUGCGUAGAUAUAUGGAAGAACACCAGUGGCGAAGGCGGCUGUCUGGUCUGCAACUGACGCUGAGGCUCGAAAGCAUGGGUAGCGAACAGGAGUAGAUACCCUGGUAGUCCAUGUCGUAAACG
This 844-nucleotide ribosomal RNA is filed under the name uncultured bacterium. RNAcentral's name for it is "bacterial SSU rRNA". It matches the Rfam family "Bacterial small subunit ribosomal RNA", at positions 8 to 808 of the family's 1533-position model. The record is from RNAcentral.